GCGCACGGGUGAGUAACGCGUAACAUCUGCCCUUCAGUCUGGGACAACUUUUCGAAAGGAGAGCUAAUACCGGAUAACAAUGCAUGACACAAGUUGUAUAUUUGAAAGCUUUAUGUGCUGAAGGAGGGGUCUGCGUCCCAUUAGCUAGUUGGUAAGGUAAAGGCUUACCAAGGCAACGAUGGGUAGCGGGUUUGAGAGGACGAUCCGCCACACUGGAACUGAGACACGGUCCAGACUCCUACGGGAGGCAGCAGCGGGGAAUAUUGCACAAUGGAGGCAACUCUGAUGCAGCAAUGUCGCGUGAGUGAAGAAGGCCCUUGGGUCGUAAAGCUCUUUUAUGGGGGAAGAUGAUGACGGUACCCCAAGAAUAAGCACCGGCUAACUAUGUGCCAGCAGCCGCGGUAAUACAUAGGGUGCGAGCGUUGUUCGGAAUUACUGGGCGUAAAGGGCGCGCAGGCGGAAUAGUAAGUCGGAGGUGAAAGCCCGGGGCUCAACCCCGGAGGGUCUUUCGAAACUACUAAUCUAGAGAGGGUCAGGGGCCGGCAGAAUUCCUGGUGUAGAGGUGAAAUUCGUAGAUAUCAGGAGGAAUACCGGUGGCGAAGGCGGCCGGCUGGGGCCACUCUGACGCUGAGGCGCGAAAGCGUGGGGAGCAAACAGGAUUAGAUACCCUGGUAGUCCAC
This 680-nucleotide ribosomal RNA is filed under the name uncultured delta proteobacterium. RNAcentral's name for it is "bacterial SSU rRNA". It matches the Rfam family "Bacterial small subunit ribosomal RNA", at positions 98 to 798 of the family's 1533-position model. The record is from RNAcentral. Lineage: Bacteria; Deltaproteobacteria.